CGUGAGAUGUUGGGUUAAGUCCCGCAACGAGCGCAACCCUCGCCUUUAGUUACCAUCAUUUAGUUGGGUACUCUAAAGGAACCGCCGGUGAUAAGCCGGAGGAAGGUGGGGAUGACGUCAAGUCCUCAUGGCCCUUACGCGCUGGGCUACACACGUGCUACAAUGGCAGGUACAGUGGGCAGCAAUCCCGCGAGGGUGAGCUAAUCUCCAAAACCUGUCUCAGUUCGGAUUGUUCUCUGCAACUCGAGAGCA
RNAcentral lists this ribosomal RNA (252 nucleotides) under uncultured bacterium. RNAcentral describes it as "partial 16S ribosomal RNA". It matches the Rfam family "Bacterial small subunit ribosomal RNA", at positions 1066 to 1320 of the family's 1533-position model. The record is from RNAcentral.